GGCGAACGGGUGAGUAACACGUGAGUAACCUGCCCCUGACUCUGGGAUAAGCCUUGGAAACGAGGUCUAAUACUGGAUACGAGACGCACAGGCAUCUGUAGUGUCUGGAAAGAAUUUUGGUCAGGGAUGGACUCGCGGCCUAUCAGCUUGUUGGUGGGGUAAUGGCCUACCAAGGCGACGACGGGUAGCCGGCCUGAGAGGGCGACCGGCCACACUGGGACUGAGACACGGCCCAGACUCCUACGGGAGGCAGCAGUGGGGAAUAUUGCACAAUGGGCGAAAGCCUGAUGCAGCGACGCCGCGUGAGGGAUGAAGGCCUUCGGGUUGUAAACCUCUUUCAGCAGGGAAGAAGCGAAAGUGACGGUACCUGCAGAAGAAGCGCCGGCUAACUACGUGCCAGCAGCCGCGGUAAUACGUAGGGCGCAAGCGUUGUCCGGAAUUAUUGGGCGUAAAGAGCUCGUAGGCGGUUUGUCGCGUCUGCUGUGAAAACUCGAGGCUCAACCUCGGGCUUGCAGUGGGUACGGGCAGACUAGAGUGCGGUAGGGGAGACUGGAAUUCCUGGUGUAGCGGUGGAAUGCGCAGAUAUCAGGAGGAACACCGAUGGCGAAGGCAGGUCUCUGGGCCGCAACUGACGCUGAGGAGCGAAAGCAUGGGGAGCGAACAGGAUUAGAUACCCUGGUAGUCCAUGCCGUAAACGUUGGGCACUAGGUGUGGGGCUCAUUCCACGAGUUCCGUGCCGCAGCAAACGCAUUAAGUGCCCCGCCUGGGGAGUACGGCCGCAAGGCUAAAACUCAAAGAAAUUGACGGGG
Molecule: ribosomal RNA, 809 nt
Filed under: Cellulomonas sp. 01xTSA28A_E03
Lineage: Bacteria; Bacillati; Actinomycetota; Actinomycetes; Micrococcales; Cellulomonadaceae
Description: bacterial SSU rRNA
Rfam family: Bacterial small subunit ribosomal RNA
Source: RNAcentral